This 497-nucleotide ribosomal RNA is filed under the name uncultured bacterium. RNAcentral describes it as "partial 16S ribosomal RNA". It matches the Rfam family "Bacterial small subunit ribosomal RNA", at positions 28 to 507 of the family's 1533-position model. The record is from RNAcentral.
GAUGAACGCUGGCGGCGUGCCUAAUACAUGCAAGUCGAGCGAACGGACGAGAAGCUUGCUUCUCUGAUGUUAGCGGCGGACGGGUGAGUAACACGUGGAUAACCUACCUAUAAGACUGGGAUAACUUCGGGAAACCGGAGCUAAUACCGGAUGAUAUUUUGAACCGCAUGGUUCAAAAGUGAAAGACGGUCUUGCUGUCACUUAUAGAUGGAUCCGCGCUGCAUUAGCUAGUUGGUAAGGUAACGGCUUACCAAGGCAACGAUGCAUAGCCGACCUGAGAGGGUGAUCGGCCACACUGGAACUGAGACACGGUCCAGACUCCUACGGGAGGCAGCAGUAGGGAAUCUUCCGCAAUGGGCGAAAGCCUGACGGAGCAACGCCGCGUGAGUGAUGAAGGUCUUCGGAUCGUAAAACUCUGUUAUUAGGGAAGAACAUAUGUGUAAGUAACUGUGCACAUCUUGACGGUACCUAAUCAGAAAGCCACGGCUACCUACGUG